GAUGAACGCUGGCGGCGUGCUUAACACAUGCAAGUCGAACGAUGAAGCCCAGCUUGCUGGGUGGAUUAGUGGCGAACGGGUGAGUAACACGUGAGUAACCUGCCCUUAACUCUGGGAUAAGCCUGGGAAACUGGGUCUAAUACCGGAUAGGAGCGCCUACCGCAUGGUGGGUGUUGGAAAGAUUUAUCGGUUUUGGAUGGACUCGCGGCCUAUCAGCUUGUUGGUGAGGUAAUGGCUAACCAAGGCGACGACGGGUAGCCGGCCUGAGAGGGUGACCGGCCACACUGGGACUGAGACACGGCCCAGACUCCUACGGGAGGCAGCAGUAGGGAAUAUUGCACAAUGGGGGCAAGCCUGAUGCAGCGACGCCGCGUGAGGGAUGACGGCCUUCGGGUUGUAAACCUCUUUCGGUAGGGAAGAAGCGAAAGUGACGGUACCUGCAGAAGAAGCACCGGCUAACUACGUG
RNAcentral lists this ribosomal RNA (466 nucleotides) under uncultured bacterium. Its description in RNAcentral is "partial 16S ribosomal RNA". It matches the Rfam family "Bacterial small subunit ribosomal RNA", at positions 28 to 507 of the family's 1533-position model. The record is from RNAcentral.